AUGGCAUCUGUACAACUGAUCCACAACGAUGCCGACGGAUUAUCGAUUUUGUUUUGUGUCUUCUUCGACCCCCUAUCGUCAAAUCCUGGCUCCGCCCCUGAUGGUAGCAGUUCAGAGGCAACACCGCUGGAGAGCAGUUUGAGCACAGAUAUUAUAGUUCUUGAGGCUCUACUAGAGGCAAAAAGAGAUGGUGUGGCUGCCAUGAAUGAGGUAAUCUUGAUCUUGAGGCUAGAAAUUAUGCAAUUAGUUGCACGCAUUAUGCAAGUAACCCAAGAAUUGGAGGAAGUAAGAAUGUUGCAUUUGAAGACGGAGGAGGUCCUGCUGCUUCUGCUAUCUGAAGCCCAAGGAGAGAACGACAGUCUGGACCACUGGCUCCACGAGCGCGCGAACGCCGGCUACCCCCUGCCCUGGCCGGCGCAGCUGCGGAUCACGCGGGGCAUGGCGAGCAGGCUGGCGCACCGGCACGGCGGUGUCGCGCGGGUGAUGCAUCGAGACGUGAAGUCGAGCAACAUCCUGCUGAACACGGCGAUAGAGACGCGCCUCGGGGACUUCGGGCUGGCGCGCGGGAGCGACGACAGGCACGUGACGAUGGACCUGGGAUGA
This 603-nucleotide ribosomal RNA is filed under the name Triticum aestivum (bread wheat). Its description in RNAcentral is "partial small subunit ribosomal RNA". The record is from RNAcentral. Lineage: Eukaryota; Viridiplantae; Streptophyta; Magnoliopsida; Poales; Poaceae.